GGGCUAUAAACCGCCAUGUAACGAGGCGGAUGAGAACAUCAGUGUCCCUUUCUACCACUUCAUGUGCUUGACAAAUAUAGCCAAGGGUCUACGAGAUAAAACAAAACCACCUGAAGUCUGUGAAGUGUACAAAAAAGUCUGUGGGGAAGAUUCUGCCACCCCAGCACCACCAAAACCUUCACCGACAACACCAACCAUUGAAGCAACACCAUCAACAGCACCAGCCAUUGAAGCAACACCAUCAACAGCACCAGCCAUUGAAGCAACACCAUCAACAGCACCAACCAUUGAAGCAACACCAUCAACACCACUGCCAACAACACCAACCACUAAAGCAACACCACCAACAGGACCAGCCAUCGACGCAACAUCAUCAACAGCACCAACCACUAAAGCAACACCACCAACAGGACCAGCCAUCGACGCAACAUCAUCAACAGCACCAGCCAUCGAAGCAACACCAACCAUUGAAGUAACAACAAAAAACCCAAGCACAGCAUCAACAACAAAAACAACAGCACCAUCAACGACAUCGUCAACAACAAGUACAACAGCAGCAUCAUUCCUGGUGAAUUCACGUUCAGAAAAAGAAACGGGAAGUGACAUCCAAAAGAUUUUAAUAGGAGUUCUUAUCAUGACGAACAUCAUUGUCCCCAUGGCAAUUUAUCUGUACAUGCGUAACCAGAUUCAGCAGAUUCCAAACUUGAGGGAAGAAGUAAGAAUGACAGAGAUGCAGCAAAACACAUUUCCCAGGGAUGUUGAAGAGGGUCCCAUUUUAUUAACGAGGUCCAGCUGUAACUACAAAAAUCUAUUUUUCCAACAACUGUAGACGCCCGAGAGUUCCAUCAUCAUAAAUUCACCUGAAAACACCAUAAUUUAAAGCCCUUGCCCAAAUAGAACACACCAUUAGAAGUUCUGAGCUGCUGAGAAUCUGGAUAAAUCUGGAUACGAGGAUCUGCCUUACACAGAUCUGGACUUACACAGUCCAGGUGAAGUAAAGGUGGUCUGUGAAGGCCUCUGCGCCCAAAGGUGGAUAAGCUUCCAAUGUGAAGAAGAGUGGGACCAAACAAGCCGCAGCAUGCCUGUUCAUGUAACUGCUCUGCAGUCGCACAUCAAGAUUGUUUUCUGUCCGCCUCAUGCAAAAUGUUUUACUGCUGUGCUGGUUUUAAGUGACCAAAGUCUUACCAGAAGAAGUGCACUGCAGAAAAUCUGUUUUAACACGAACAAUAACGAGUUGGUUUUUUGUCAUAUUUAGAAUAAUUUUAAACACAAAGACACAGAUUAUGCAUGUAGUCAGUAAACAUAUAUAUGUGUGUGUCUCUGUGUGUUCAAGUGUUCCACUGUGCAGACUACUAUAUUUAGUGCGACUGCAAAAGAAAAAAGUUACGUUUUUAUGGCUAAUGGACUAAUUGCCUCUGUUCAUGUGUGCAUAUUUGGGGAAAGGUUUGGUGGCUUUUUUUCUAUUCCUUGUAUGUAUUAAGUAUGUUGUGAUAAAGCUUCAGCUGAAAAGCUAAAAGUGCCUAAAAAAAAUUAAAUAUUAUUAUUUUUUUUAUUGCACAAUGCACAUUAAGCGAAGCCACCAUAAAAAAUUGAACUUUUACCUUUUUCUAAGCCAGCUGUGCUAGCUUUACCCCUAAAAUGUGAUCUUAUCUGUUAACAGUUGUUCUAGAUAAGUUCUCACUGUACAGUCCUCAUACAUCCAUCGAAUGUGUUUGUGUUUCAUGGAAGUAUAAAUAGAAAAUUACCUACCGCAAUGCUUUUAUUAUUUUCAUAAAUCACUGCAAAAACAAAGAGAUGUGAAAAAAGCGGUCUCUGCACGUUUUCAUUUUCAUACUGUCACGUUAUUUCACUCUUAUAUAUGGUAAAUGGUCUGUAUUUGUAUAGCGCUUUACUUGGUCCACUCUUGUGUAUGUGUAAUUAUCCCACAUAUCUGUCCCUCACAUAUGGAAGACUGUAGACAUUGUUCUGUGUUUUCAGUUUUUGGCUUUUGAUGCAUUUGUGGAAUAUAUUUUAGUUUUUGUUUAUGUAAAAAUUUUUAUUUUUAUAUAUUUUUUAAGCCAACCACUUUAUUUAUUGUGUUUGUAAUAGAGACUGAGUAGGAGUUUUUUUGUUUUGUUUUUGAAUGUGUAGAUGUGAGUUUAGACAAGCAUCUAUGAUUCCCAUACAUACUCCUUGGUGUGGAACAAAAAUGUCCAGACUGAAAAGAGAAAAAUGUAAGCAGAUAAUAGAACGGACCCGGUGAACAUAUCUGAGCACAGGAGCCAGACUUGUAAAGUGUAUAAAAAGCUAUAUUUAAAACCAAGUAAUAAAUAAGAAAUGAAUAAAAAAGAAAAAUCAAACAAAAACAUUUCUUUAAUUGAAACAGUCACAUUAAGGAUUCAUCUACACCAGGGGUCCCCAAACCCCGUCCACAAGGGCCGGUGUCCCUGCAGGUUUUAAUAAUAAUAAUAAUAAUAAUGGAUUGGAUUUAUAUAACGCUUUUCAAGGCACCCAAAGCGCUUUACAAUGCCACUAUUCAUUCAUUCGCGCAUUCACACACUGGUGGAGGCAGCUACGGUUGUAGCCACAGCUGCCCUGGGGCAGACUGACAGAAGCGAGGCUGCCAUAUCGCGCCAUCGGCCCCUCUGGCCAACACCAGUAGGUGGCAGGUGAAGGACACAACGACC
Long non-coding RNA from Astatotilapia calliptera (eastern happy), 2666 nucleotides. NCBI's taxonomy places the organism in Eukaryota, Metazoa, Chordata, Actinopteri, Cichliformes, Cichlidae. The record is from Ensembl.